CAGUAGCCACGGUAAUACGAAGGGUGCAAGCGUUACUCGGAAUUACUGGGCGUAAAGCGUGCGUAGGUGGCUGUUUAAGUCGGAUGUGAAAGCCCUGGGCUUAACCUGGGAACUGCAUUCGAUACUGGAUAGCUAGAGAUCGGUAGAGGGCAGCGGAAUUCCGGGUGUAGCGGUGAAAUGCGUAGAUAUCCGGAGGAACACUGAUGGCGAAGGCAACUGCCUGGGCCUGAUCUGACACUGAGGCACGAAAGCGUGGGUAGCAAACAGGAUUAGAUACCCGGUAGUCCCUGUCUCUUAUACA
RNAcentral lists this ribosomal RNA (301 nucleotides) under uncultured bacterium. RNAcentral's name for it is "partial 16S ribosomal RNA". It matches the Rfam family "Bacterial small subunit ribosomal RNA", at positions 509 to 808 of the family's 1533-position model. The record is from RNAcentral.